RNAcentral lists this ribosomal RNA (253 nucleotides) under uncultured bacterium. RNAcentral's name for it is "partial 16S ribosomal RNA". It matches the Rfam family "Bacterial small subunit ribosomal RNA", at positions 524 to 776 of the family's 1533-position model. The record is from RNAcentral.
UACGUAGGGGGCAAGCGUUGUCCGGAAUCAUUGGGCGUAAAGCGCGCGUAGGCGGCCCGGUAAGUCCGUUGUGAAAGUCAAAGGCUCAACCUUUGAAUGCCGAUGGAUACUGCCGGGCUAGAGUCCGGAAGAGGCGAGUGGAAUUCCUGGUGUAGCGGUGGAAUGCGCAGAUAUCAGGAGGAACACCGAUGGCGAAGGCAGCUCGCUGGGACGGUACUGACGCUGAGGCGCGAAAGCGUGGGGAGCAAACAGG